Molecule: non-coding RNA, 224 nt
Organism: Myotis lucifugus (little brown bat)
Lineage: Eukaryota; Metazoa; Chordata; Mammalia; Chiroptera; Vespertilionidae
Source: Rfam
ACAUUGGAAGACCCUGAAGUGUAGGUGAGAAGAUGCUUUGCUUCAGUCAUCACAAUGACAACAACGAUAGUAACUCAAGUCAAGCAAGAAGUUUAUGUCAACAAACUAAGAACAGAGUUGUUUUUUAAGAAUCACAACUUAUUUGCACUUUCUUCUUGAAUUAUGAUGCUUGCAAAGAGCAAGGUUUGAAAGGACUAAUACUACAUUACCAAAAUUAAGACUAG